GGUAGCCGUACGAGCGCACCCCUAUCCUUAUUUGCCAGCGCGUAAUGGCGGGAACUACUAGUGAGACUGCCGGUCAUAAACCGGAGGAAGGCGGGGACGACGUCAAGUCAUCAUGGCCCUUAUGGGUAGGGCUACACACGUGAUACAAUGGGCGGUACAGAGGGUCGCCAAAUCGCGAGCUGGAGCCAAACCCUUAAAACCAUUCUUAGUCCGGAUUGGAGUCUGCAACUCGACUCCAUGAAGUCGGAAUCGCUAGUAAUCGCGAAUCAGAAUGUCUCGGUGAAUACGUUCUCGGGCCUUGUACACACCGCCCGUCACGUCAUGGAAGUGGGUUGCACCAUAAGUGGCUUGUUUAACCUUCGGGAAAACGGUCACCACGGAGUGAUUCGCAACUGGCACGAAGUCGUAACAAGGUAGCCCUAUGGGAACCUGGGGCUGGAUCACCUCCUU
Molecule: ribosomal RNA, 450 nt
Filed under: uncultured marine bacterium 311
Lineage: Bacteria
Description: bacterial SSU rRNA
Rfam family: Bacterial small subunit ribosomal RNA
Source: RNAcentral